This 327-nucleotide ribosomal RNA is filed under the name uncultured bacterium. RNAcentral's name for it is "bacterial SSU rRNA". It matches the Rfam family "Bacterial small subunit ribosomal RNA", at positions 29 to 339 of the family's 1533-position model. The record is from RNAcentral.
AACGAACGUUAGCGGCGCGCCUAACACAUGCAAGUCGAGCGAGAAAGGGAGCAAUCCCCGGUAAAGCGGCGCACGGGUGAGUAACACGUAGGUAAUCUGCCUCUGAGUGGGGGAUAACCUUCCGAAAGGAGGGCUAAUACCGCAUGAGACCCACGCCUUCGAGAGGAGGAGGGGUCAAAGCCGGCCACUAUACAUAAGCUGGCGCUUGGAGAUGAGCCUGCGGCCCAUCAGCUAGUUGGUAGGGUAAUGGCCUACCAAGGGCGUAGACGGGUAGCUGGUCUGAGAGGAUGAUCAGCCACACUGGAACUGAGACACGGUCCAGACUCC